AACUGUUUUUGUUUUGGA
RNAcentral lists this microRNA (18 nucleotides) under Corchorus olitorius. Its description in RNAcentral is "oan-miR-13". Lineage: Eukaryota; Viridiplantae; Streptophyta; Magnoliopsida; Malvales; Malvaceae. The record is from RNAcentral.